AUGAACGCUGGCGGCGUGCCUAAUACAUGCAAGUCGAGCGAACAGACGAGGAGCUUGCUCCUCUGACGUUAGCGGCGGACGGGUGAGUAACACGUGGAUAACCUACCUAUAAGACUGGGAUAACUUCGGGAAACCGGAGCUAAUACCGGAUAAUAUAUUGAACCGCAUGGUUCAAUAGUGAAAGACGGUUUUGCUGUCACUUAUAGAUGGAUCCGCGCCGCAUUAGCUAGUUGGUAAGGUAACGGCUUACCAAGGCAACGAUGCGUAGCCGACCUGAGAGGGUGAUCGGCCACACUGGAACUGAGACACGGUCCAGACUCCUACGGGAGGCAGCAGUAGGGAAUCUUCCGCAAUGGGCGAAAGCCUGACGGAGCAACGCCGCGUGAGUGAUGAAGGUCUGCGGAUCGUAAAACUCUGUUAUUAGGGAAGAACAAAUGUGUAAGUAACUAUGCACGUCUUGACGGUACCUAAGCAGAAAGCCACGGCUAACUACGU
This 495-nucleotide ribosomal RNA is filed under the name uncultured bacterium. RNAcentral's name for it is "partial 16S ribosomal RNA". It matches the Rfam family "Bacterial small subunit ribosomal RNA", at positions 29 to 506 of the family's 1533-position model. The record is from RNAcentral.